Penaeus chinensis is the source of this 736-nucleotide long non-coding RNA. RefSeq lists it as uncharacterized. The transcript has 3 exons. Lineage: Eukaryota; Metazoa; Arthropoda; Malacostraca; Decapoda; Penaeidae. The record is from RefSeq and is a predicted model, not a curated record.
CAUACAUACACACACUCACACACGCACACCAAUCAGAGUGAAUUUAAUAUCAAGGAAAAGUGAAUGGAUAUUUAAAACAGACAAAACACCAACUUCUCUGAAGCCUACGACACAAUGAGAAUAUUGCAAGGAAUGCCGUGGCAGCUGCAACUUUAUCUGCAUUACGACGUCUCUUUGGGAAUGAAUAUGAUAUGGCUAAUCCUUGAAAGGAUAGACAUGUGCGCUGUUCCGAGCAACAGGAAGAAGACAUUAGUUUAGCUAAAAUUGCUUUCUUUUCCCGGCGAAAAUCUGUCUUUGUGUGAAAGGAGAGAGAGAAAAAAAGGGGAAAAUAGAAGGAAAAGGAAAGGAAAAAUACGAAAGCGUUGGGUAAAUUCUGCUGCACCGAUUUAAUAAAAUACUGGAGGAAAAUGUGUUCCUAAUGAAAGCGGUGCAAAAUAUGCCCUUUGAAAAGACAUUAAGGCCUCGCCAUAAAAUUCUUGGAUUUUCAGGCCUUAAAAGGGAGACCCUAAGAAGGCGGAAAUAAUUAAAAACGAGAUAGAUACUUUGUGAGGAAUGCCGUGCCCUGACGCCAAGGGAAGGGUGACGAGCCUGAGUAACUGGCUUCUGAUGCUCUCUCUGGGACGGUAAGCGCGGGGCCCGUGUGCGCCAGAAUGCGAGCCGGAAUGAGCCGGUGAAGCCCCAGGGCGCGAAAGAGGGACUUCAGUGGAAAUCGUUACGGGAGGUCAUCGGCGUCCGG